AUUGAACGCUGGCGGCAGGCCUAACACAUGCAAGUCGAGCGGAUGAAGGGAGCUUGCUCCUGGAUUCAGCGGCGGACGGGUGAGUAAUGCCUAGGAAUCUGCCUGGUAGUGGGGGAUAACGUCCGGAAACGGGCGCUAAUACCGCAUACGUCCUGAGGGAGAAAGUGGGGGAUCUUCGGACCUCACGCUAUCAGAUGAGCCUAGGUCGGAUUAGCUAGUUGGUGGGGUAAAGGACUACCAAGGCGACGAUCCGUAACUGGUCUGAGAGGAUGAUCAGUCACACUGGAACUGAGACACGGUCCAGACUCCUACGGGAGGCAGCAGUGGGGAAUAUUGGACAAUGGGCGAAAGCCUGAUCCAGCCAUGCCGCGUGUGUGAAGAAGGUCUUCGGAUUGUAAAGCACUUUAAGUUGGGAGGAAGGGCAGUAAGUUAAUACCUUGCUGUUUUGACGUUACCAACAGAAUAAGCACCGGCUAACUUCGUG
Molecule: ribosomal RNA, 484 nt
Filed under: uncultured bacterium
Lineage: Bacteria
Description: partial 16S ribosomal RNA
Rfam family: Bacterial small subunit ribosomal RNA
Source: RNAcentral